RNAcentral lists this ribosomal RNA (403 nucleotides) under bacterium. Its description in RNAcentral is "partial 16S ribosomal RNA". It matches the Rfam family "Bacterial small subunit ribosomal RNA", at positions 355 to 776 of the family's 1533-position model. The record is from RNAcentral.
UGGGGAAUAUUGCACAAUGGGGGAAACCCUGAUGCAGCGACGCCGCUUGAACGAAGAAGGUAUUCGUAUCGUAAAGUUCUGCCCUAUGGAAAGAUAAUGACAGUACCAUAGAAGAAAGCUCCGGCUAAAUACGUGCCAGCAGCCGCGGUAAUACGUAUGGAGCGAGCGUUGUCCGGAAUUAUUGGGCGUAAAGGGUACGCAGGCGGUUUAAUAAGUCGAAUGUUAAAGAUCGGGGCUCAACCCCGCAAAGCAUUGGAAACUGAUAAACUUGAGUAGUGGAGAGGAAAGUGGAAUUCCUAGUGUAGUGGUGAAAUACGUAGAUAUUAGGAGGAAUACCAGUAGCGAAGGCGACUUUCUGGACACAAACUGACGCUGAGGUACGAAAGCGUGGGGAGCAAACAGG